UACGUAGGUGGCAAGCGUUGUCCGGAUUUAUUGGGUUUAAAGGGUACGUAGGCGGCCCUGUAAGUCAGUGCUGAAAUAUCCCGGCUUAACCGGGAGGGUGGCAUUGAUACUGCGGGGCUAGAGUACAGAUGAGGUAGGCGGAAUUGACGGUGUAGCGGUGAAAUGCUUAGAUAUCGUCAAGAACACCUAUAGCGAAGGCAGCUUACUAGGCUGUAACUGACGCUGAGGCACGAAAGUGUGGGGAUCAAACAGG
RNAcentral lists this ribosomal RNA (253 nucleotides) under uncultured bacterium. RNAcentral's name for it is "partial 16S ribosomal RNA". It matches the Rfam family "Bacterial small subunit ribosomal RNA", at positions 524 to 776 of the family's 1533-position model. The record is from RNAcentral.